AGAGUUUGAUCAUGGCUCAGGACGAACGCUGGCGGCGUGCUUAACACAUGCAAGUCGAGCGGACUUUGGGAGCUUGCUCUUAAAGUUAGCGGCGGACGGGUGAGUAACACGUGGGUAAUCUGCCCUCGAGUGGGGAAUAACACAGAGAAAUCUGUGCUAAUACCGCAUAAUGUAUGCUGGUCGCAUGACCGGCAUAAAAAAGAUUUAUUGCUUGAGGAUGAGCCCGCGGCCCAUUAGCUAGUUGGUGAGGUAAUGGCCCACCAAGGCAACGAUGGGUAGCCGACCUGAGAGGGUGAUCGGCCACAUUGGAACUGAGACACGGUCCAGACUCCUACGGGAGGCAGCAGUGGGGAAUAUUGCACAAUGGGGGAAACCCUGAUGCAGCAACGCCGCGUGAGCGGCGAAGGCCUUCGGGUUGUAAAGCUCUGUCUUCACUGACGAAGUAUGACGGUAAGUGAGGAGGAAGCCACGGCUAACUACGUGCCAGCAGCCGCGGUAAUACGUAGGUGGCAAGCGUUGUCCGGAAUUAUUGGGCGUAAAGGGUGCGUAGGCGGUCUUUUAAGUGGGAUGUGAAGUACCUAGGCUUAACUUAGGAAUGGCAUUCCAAACUGGAAGACUAGAGUGCAGGAGAGGAAAGUGGAAUUCCCAGUGUAGCGGUGAAAUGCGUAGAGAUUGGGAGGAACACCAGUGGCGAAGGCGACUUUCUGGACUGUAACUGACGCUGAGGCACGAAAGCGUGGGGAGCAAACAGGAUUAGAUACCCUGGUAGUCCACGCUGUAAACUAUGAGUACUAGGUGUGGGGGGGCGAAGCCCUCUGUGCCGCAGUUAACACAAUAAGUACUCCGCCGGAAGUACGAUCGCAAGAUUAAAACUCAAAUGAAUUGACGGAAUCUGACGGAAUCGU
RNAcentral lists this ribosomal RNA (905 nucleotides) under uncultured bacterium. RNAcentral describes it as "bacterial SSU rRNA". It matches the Rfam family "Bacterial small subunit ribosomal RNA", at positions 8 to 932 of the family's 1533-position model. The record is from RNAcentral.